This 369-nucleotide ribosomal RNA is filed under the name uncultured bacterium. RNAcentral's name for it is "bacterial SSU rRNA". It matches the Rfam family "Bacterial small subunit ribosomal RNA", at positions 29 to 423 of the family's 1533-position model. The record is from RNAcentral.
AACGAACGCUGGCGGCAUGCCUAACACAUGCAAGUCGAACGAGACCUUCGGGUCUAGUGGCGCACGGGUGCGUAACGCGUGGGAAUCUGCCCUUUGCUUCGGAAUAACAGUUAGAAAUGACUGCUAAUACCGGAUGAUGUCUUCGGACCAAAGAUUUAUCGGCAAAGGAUGAGCCCGCGUAGGAUUAGGUAGUUGGUGGGGUAAAGGCCUACCAAGCCGACGAUCCUUAGCUGGUCUGAGAGGAUGAUCAGCCACACUGGGACUGAGACACGGCCCAGACUCCUACGGGAGGGCAGCAGUGGGGAAUAUUGGGACAAUGGGCGAAAGCCUGAUCCAGCAAUGCCGCGUGAGUGAUGAAGGCCUUCGGUC